UGGGGAAUAUUGGACAAUGGACCAAAAGUCUGAUCCAGCAAUUCUGUGUGCACGAUGACGUUUUUCGGAAUGUAAAGUGCUUUCAGUUAGGAAGAAAAAAAUGACGGUACCAACAGAAGAAGUGACGGCUAAAUACGUGCCAGCAGCCGCGGUAAUACGUAUGUCACAAGCGUUAUCCGGAUUUAUUGGGCGUAAAGCGCGUCUAGGUGGUUAUGUAAGUCUGAUGUGAAAAUGCAGGGCUCAACUCUGUAUUGCGUUGGAAACUGUAUGACUAGAGUACUGGAGAGGUAAGCGGAACUACGAGUGUAAAGGUGAAAUUCGUANAUNUUUGUAGGAAUGCCGAUGGGGAAGCCAGCUUACUGGACAGAUACUGACGCUAAAGCGCGAAAGCGUGGGUAGCANACAGGAUUANAUACCCUGGUAGUCCACGCCGUANACGAUGAUUACUANGUGUUGGGGGUCGAACCUCANCGCCCANGCUAACGCGAUAAGUAAUCCGCCUGGGGAGUACGUACGCAAGUAUG
RNAcentral lists this ribosomal RNA (524 nucleotides) under uncultured bacterium. RNAcentral's name for it is "bacterial SSU rRNA". It matches the Rfam family "Bacterial small subunit ribosomal RNA", at positions 355 to 896 of the family's 1533-position model. The record is from RNAcentral.